Molecule: ribosomal RNA, 305 nt
Filed under: uncultured bacterium
Lineage: Bacteria
Description: bacterial SSU rRNA
Rfam family: Bacterial small subunit ribosomal RNA
Source: RNAcentral
GUUUGCCUACGGGGGGCAGCAGUAGGGAAUAUUGCUCAAUGGGGGAAACCCUGAAGCAGCAACGCCGCGUGGAGGAUGAAGGUUUUAGGAUUGUAAACUCCUUUUGUGAGAGAAGAUAAUGACGGUAUCUCACGAAUAAGCACCGGCUAACUCCGUGCCAGCAGCCGCGGUGAUACGUAGGUGGCAAGCGUUGUCCGGAUUUACUGGGUGUAAAGGGCGUGUAGCCGGGUUGACAAGUCAGAUGUGAAAUCCUGCGGCUUAACCGCAGAACUGCAUUUGAAACUGUUGAUCUUGAGUACUGGAGA